RNAcentral lists this ribosomal RNA (351 nucleotides) under Triticum aestivum (bread wheat). RNAcentral describes it as "partial small subunit ribosomal RNA". The record is from RNAcentral. Lineage: Eukaryota; Viridiplantae; Streptophyta; Magnoliopsida; Poales; Poaceae.
AUGGGCAACGCCCUGCCGCUGCCACGCAUGUGCAAGGAAACCAGGGUGAUGGACGCCACCCUCGCCGGAGCAGCCAAGAUGGUGAAGAGGAGAGAGCGGCCCGCGGCGGCCAAGGACGUCGUCGAGGAGAAGGAGGUGGCGUGGCCGGAGUGCCGCGUCGAGGACGGCGGGGUGCGGUUGAAGGUGCUGAUGACGAGGAAGGAGGCGGCGGAGUUCAUGGCGAGGCUGGAGGAGCAGGCCGCCGCGGAGAGUGAAUCCAGGACGGGGGAGGGCCUCGCCGGCGGCGUGAUGAGCCCGCCGUGCGAGGUUGCGUGGAGGCCCCGUCUCGCAACCAUACCGGAGACGCACUAG